UACGUAGGUGGCAAGCGUUGUCCGGAUUUAUUGGGUUUAAAGGGUGCGUAGGCGGCUUUGUAAGUCAGUGGUGAAAUACGGUAGCUUAACUAUCGAGGUGCCAUUGAUACUGCGAGGCUUGAGUACAGAUGAGGUAGGCGGAAUUGACGGUGUAGCGGUGAAAUGCUUAGAUAUCGUCAAGAACACCUAUAGCGAAGGCAGCUUACUAGGCUGUAACUGACGCUGAGGCACGAAAGUGGGUGGG
Molecule: ribosomal RNA, 244 nt
Filed under: uncultured bacterium
Lineage: Bacteria
Description: partial 16S ribosomal RNA
Rfam family: Bacterial small subunit ribosomal RNA
Source: RNAcentral